AAAAGAUACACUCUGCAAAAGCUGCAACGUCGUACAUAUACAGACCCACCCCCUCUUGUCAUUGUCUUCUUCCACGCCAACCACCCCAAAGGACCCAUCGUUUCUUCUUCUUCUGAAUCAGAGAAUCAAGACCUCCAUUAGAAAACACCAUCGAAGACCUCUUGAUCUUCAGCUUCUUCUGCAGCAGCACAAACCAAAAGCAAUGACCCCUAAGUUGUUCCUCUUCUGUCUCGAAGCAGCAGGACCUGCAACCUUCCAACGAUCCCUCCCCACCAUGAACUGAUCUUCCUCAGUCGCUGAACACCCAGAAACACCUCCUCCAUCGACGCUCCUCUUCUUCAACUUCAUAGAGUCCAUUUUGAAGUCCGUUCGUUGAGUUGUUCGGGGUCGAGCGCUAGAGACGUUUGAGGUCGUCGGGUCCCUGUUCCGUUUGUGGUCAUUUUCUGGUGCAUUUCUGGUCCCUUACUCUAUUUUGGUGUGGUUAAAAGUAUAAUAAGAGUAGUAGAGGUUGAAUUCCGGGAACUGAGUUGGUAGUUGUAAGAGAUUUUGUGUUUUUGCUUAUCGUGUGAUGCACUAUUCUGUCGAAGGGUGUUCUAAAUUUGGUGUUUGUCGAUUUUUCUAUAGAAUUUGCUAGUGUUCAAGUUGUCGCAAAUCUGUUAACCAUGAAAUUCACAUCUCUGAUUCGUUGAAAUGUUUGAGCUGCUGCAGUUUUGUCUCAAAUUCUCGAUUACUGUCAAUAUGUGUCCAAUUUCCCUUUGUGAUUUUGUUUUGUUUCAUUUUUCAGUCAUUCUUUGGCUUGUUACGAGUAGAGUUUGGAUGCGGAACUUAUUGUCUGUUCGUUAAUAUGGAGCUACUGGAAAUAUUUUCUUUUGGAGUUGUUGAUCUUUUGUAUUUAGUUGUAAAUUUGGUUAAUUUGAGUAGUUUUAGAUUGUUAAGCAAAUACUAAGCUAAGAAUAGAAGGAAUUGUUUCACGAGUUAAUUUUGAACAUUGAAGCAAAAAAAUGAAACUUCAGGAACGGUGGUGGACUGAUGUAAUUAUGUGCUGGGAUACUACUUAUAUUUAUUUUAUGAAAGUUAGUUUGAGCUUUAUCCUUUGUUAAAGGUUUCCAAAAACAAUCAGAUUCUAAUUUUAAAGAAGUUGAUUUUGGGUUUAAAAUUGCGAAGUGGCCAGUAUCAUAUUUAGUUCGAUCCUUUGUUAUUCUAGUAGUCUUUGUCUUAUUUCGUGCGUCUUGGAUGUUUACAUGUCUCGAUAUCUCAUUUGUGGUGAUCGGUAUAUUUUUGUUUUGAAUGACCGUGGGAUCAUGGGGAGUGAUAGAAAGGCCAAAGCCCUUUAGCAAUUAAUUUAUUCCAUAUUUUAGGUAUCGGGCUCGGCCGGAUAGGAGAAGGGUUUAAAAGGGAAUGUUCAUGAAAUCUCGUUUAGUAAAAGUAUUCCAUAACUCAUGGCCCUCACGAGUGUUAUAAUUUAGAUAUUAAAAAUGAACUUCGUAGUUUGCUUUAGGCGCGGUAGUUAUAUAAUUAUCAUGGCUUUUGUUAAAAUCCGUGGGUGUAUUUCAUGUGACCCGGUUCUAAUUUCCAACAAGGUUAAAUAGAGCGUGUCAUGAACUACGGGUGCAUUUCAUGUGACGUGGCUUGCGAUAUGUUUUAAAUAACCUUGAAUUAAUUCCUUAAAUAAGUAAAAGCAGUUUUCAAAAGUUAAAAGGCACAUAGGUUUAAGAGUAUUUUAAAAUCAAGUAAAUAGGCCAAUAAUAACAGUUGAGCGACCGCGCUAAAAUCACGGAACUCAGGAAUGCCUAACAUCUUCUCCCGGGUUAACAAAAUUCCUUACCCAAAUUUCUGUGUGCGCGGACUGAAAAAUAGAGUCAAUCUUUCCUUGAUUCGGGAUUUAAAACCGGUGACUUGGGACACCAUAAAUUAUCCCAAGUGGCGACUCUGAUUUUUAAAUAAUAAUCCCGUUUUGAUUGUCACUUUAAGUUGGAAAAAACUCCCUUGUACCCUUCCGGAGGGUAGGAAAAAGGAGGUAUGACAAAACUAACAUUCUUUCUGAGAGUAAAGAACAAGAUGAUGAAGCAAUUGGGUUGGUAAGAAACUCAAAUGAAACUACAUCCAAGCCUGAAGCUGCACCAGAGGAAGGAACUAGUGAUGGAACUUGUCCUUCCACCCAUGACAACCUGAUAGGGGGAAUUGAAUAGAGAGGAACUGAUCCUCAAACCUCGAGGGAACCUAUUCAUGAACAUGUUCCUCAACAACUAAACAUUGAAGGAACGUCUAGGGGAAACCAGCUGGUUGUGAAACCUUACAAGUAUCAAAGUUAUCAUCCCAUUAGGAACAUAAUCACUUAUCCAACCUCUGGAAUCAAAACCAGAUCUUCUUUGAAAAACCUAUGUACUUUUGAUGAUUUUUUUAUCUCUUAGUGAACAUAAAAAUAUUUUUGAGGCUUUGCAGGAUGCAGACUAGAGGAAUGCAAUGCAAGAUGAACUCAACCAAUUUGAAAUAAGUCAAGUUUGGCAUCUGGUACCAAGACCCAAGUAUAGAUCAAUGAUUCGCACUAAUUGGGUCUUCAAAAACAAACGUAAUGAAGAUGGAACAAUUACAAGGCACAAGGCAAGAUUGAUGGUUCAAGGAUAUAGUCAAGAGGAGGGCAUAGACUAUGAUGAGACUUUUGCUCCAGUUGCAAUAUUGGAAGCAAUUAGACUCCUUAUAGUAUUUGCUGCUUACACGGAAUUCACUCUCUAUCAUAUGGAUGUCAAGAGUGUCUUUCUCAAUGGCUAUCUAAAAGAAGAAGUGUUUGUCAAGCAACCUCUUGGCUUUGAGAGCAAGGAUUGUUUUGAUCAUGUGUACAAGCUAGAUAAGGCACUUUAUGUGCUCAAGCAGGCUCCAAGAACAUGGUAUGAAAAAUUGUCUAAAUUCUUGCUUGAGCAUGACUACAAGAGAGGCAAAAUUGAUAAUACUUUGUUCUUGAAAGAAAACAGUAAAGAUCUCUUGAUAAUUCAUAUAUAUGUUGAUGAUAUAAUCUUUGGUAAAACUACAAACAUGUUAAGUAAAGAAUUUGCUAAGCUAAUGGGGAGUGAAUUUGAAAUGAGUAUGAUAAGUGAGCUUAAUUUAUUUUAGGCUUACAAAUUAAAUAAAAUUCAAAUGGAACUAUGAUCCACCAGUAGAAGUAUGUGAAAGAGUUGCUUAAAAGGUUUAAAAUGGAAGAUUAUAAAGAAAUUGACAUUCCUAUAGAAACAACCACAAAAUUGGAUUUGGAUGAACCUAGUUCAUUUGUUGAUCAGAAGAUGUAUAGGGGAAUGAUUUGCUCUUUGUUAUAUCUCACUGCUAGUAAACCUGACAUUGUUUUCAGUGUAGGUCUUUGUGCUAGAUUCCAAGCAAAUCCAAAAGAGUCUCACUUGACAACAAAUAGUUGAUAUAUUCACAAAAGCUCUAAGUAGAGAUAACUUUGAAAGCAACAUGUUAGAAUUAGGAAUGAUUGAGAUCACCUAAAAGGAACCAGUUCUAACUCAAUAAUUGGUUAGAUAAUUUAUGAAUUUUGUAAAUAAUUGAAUUAGAUUUUGCUUAGUCUCAUACUCUUAUUAGUAUACUCUUGUGUCAUGUGCUAAAAUGCCUUACUAAUCUCUAAUGAUAUUACCCUUAUUUUCUUGAAAAAUUCAGACUUAACAAGGGAAUUCUCAGUGAAGAACCUGGUUCAUCAAGAUUAUAUGGUAUGUACUCUCCACUCCGCGUAUUUGAAAAUAAAUGUAACUGGAUCAUGAUAAAAAAAAUAAAGUCUCAUUUAAUCCCAAUACCCUUCAAUCCUAUCCAUUACAAAUGAACCAGUUUCACCAAAAGAGUCACACGCGCCAUAAUUGCCUAGAAUCUAGGGAAGAAUCUAAGGUGCAUUCAAAUAAACUUUCCCAGAUUGAUUAGACCUUUGAACUUCAAAAAGCAUUUGUUACUCAUUCCAACUCUCCCUCUUUAAAUUUAUUAGACUUUAAUCAUUUCUUCACUUCUAAUCUUUGAAGAAAAAUUCAAGACGUCAAAAAUUCUCUCUAUUUUCUCUCAUCUCUUCUACACACACAUAUCUUCUAUAUACAUCAAAUGGAAAACCCUUUUGAGAACCAUUCUUCACCAUCCGAAGAACCAACACCCACAUCUUCUACCACCACUACCCCUAAGAAAGGACAAGUUAAGAUGUUUGCUCCUAAAGUAGUUGUUGGCAGUGAACAAAUCAAGAAAAUAAAUAAGUAGCUGAAAGCAAGCCCGACAGAGGAACCCCAAAAAUCAGAUGAAUUUUUCAAGUCUGCAAUUGAGGGGGAAGAACCUGUUUCAUUUGAAAUAGAACAGGUAACUUCUGGGCUAAAAAUUAUGUCUAAUAUCAUUUCUGAUGUGGCCGAGAAUCUGGAGAAUAGAUUUGUUCUUGUUGGUACUAUUGGUGGGGUAGAGACUACUGAGUUUGGUAAAAUUACUGGUAAAAAUAAAAAGAAAAAGGAAAAAAAGAGUGAGGGUGUUAAAGGUGAUGUCAGGGGAAAGGGAGAAGAAGGAGUGGCUAAAUCUUCGCCCACUCCUAUUGGUUUGACUGAAGAAACAGUGGCAAUGGUGAUAUGGAGUGAGAAAGUUGUUGAGGAGGAAUAGAGUUUGAGAGAAGAAGACGACAGUGAGUCUAGAGAUGCAAGUGCAACGGAGGGGCGGUUAGGUUGAGGAAGAGUUUCUAAGAACAUGUUCCAUCUAUGAAUGAACCCCUCCAAGACCUACUAAAAAAGGUGUCUGAUAGCUACAAUCCAAAUAAGAAGAAAAGUUCAGGAGUUAAAAUCCCUGAAACUGCUAUGGGAGGCAAGAAGAGAAAGGAGAGAAAAGUUACCUCUUCUAUCCUUGUAGAGACUCCUCCCACAGGGUGAGGCUACAAGGAGUCAGAGGAAGCAGAGUGAGGCUGCCCUCAAAAAGGCCUUAGUUGAGAGUAAAAGGAAAGUUGCUGAAAAGGGAAAGAAGAAAGUGGGUGAGCUAGUUGAAACAAUUGAAAUUGAGGAGAUGGACCUGGUCCUUCAUGAUGAGGACGAGGCAGAGAAGAUGGAGGAUGUGACUCCAAAAGCAAGAAAGGAAAGACUUCCAAAAAGAAGUCCCCUGCAAAAUCUAUUGAUAUAAAACCCUCUACCUUGGCAAAGAUAACCAGGUCUACUAGGAAAUCAAGAAAAGUGCAAGUAGUGGAAGAUGAGAGUGAGGAAAAAGAGGAAACUGAUGAAGAACAGGGCACGAGGGUGAAGGUUGGCAAAAGAACAAUUUUGAAGGGUAGAUUCCUUAGAGAUUUGGAGGAGGAUGGAAUGGUGCAGCUAGGGGUGUCAAUUGGGCUGUUUGGGUUAAAUUUGGGCGGGUCAAAAUAGGCUGAACCAAUAUAUGGGUCAUUACCCAACCCCGCACAAAACUUUCUUGGGCUAGAAUGGGUUGGGCCAAGAUGGGCUAAACAAUGGGUCAAUGCCAACCCGCCCAAUUUCACCCACUUACUUCAUUUUUAUGCAUGAUUUGGUAUCUGCUUUACAUUUUUAUUCGCAUAUAGUUUAGACGAAAUGUGAUUUAAGAAUUAUGAGACACAUGAAUAUAUUUCCUACAUCGUUCUUUUGAGAUGAAACUAUAAAAAUGAAAGUACAUCAUUUAUCUCAUUUUCUGAAAUAGAUAAUUAUUUAGGAAGUUAAGAACCAAUCUCAGAAAUCAUUAUUUAGAAAGUUAAAAUAUCUUGUUAAUUGAUUAAAAUUUUCAAAACAUUCUAUAGAUAUCUUCAUCUAUUAUAUUGUGAGUAUAAUAUAUUUUACGUAGAGUAUAUAGGUGCACAACUGUAAAGCUAGAAUUCUUUUUAUUAGUCGGCAAUCAGGAAGUGUAUUUUGUUUUAGAAUAAAUACUAUUAGCAUUUAAAAUGAGUUCAUAAAUUAUACUCAUAAUUUUCUUAUAAGUUAAUAAAUAUAGCACAAAAAAAGUAAAGCACCUUUUUAUUACAUAAUUACGUUAAUUUAUCAUUCUUCUAGAUGGGUCAAUAUGACCAAUUGUCCAAAUGAUAUCAAUCAUUGUUAAACUUCUUGCAAACAUAAAGAUCAUAUACUUAGAAACUAAUUAAAGUGAUAGAUAUACCAGUGACAACAAUAAAAAGCAUACAUUUAAAAAGCAAAAACAAUAUAGGAAGUUACAAAAAAAAUUCAAUUUGUAGUAUUUAUUUAACCUUUUCUCAAAUCUGAAUUUGUUUAGUUCCUUAAAGAAAAAUUGAAAAUUCCCUAAAGCAUAGUUCUGUAAUUUCCUUAUCAAAACGCUUCUUUUCAUGCAAAACAAAUGAUCAAGCAUUAGAAAGAAAAUACUUUCUUUUCUAAAAACAAUAUAGAAGGAUAAAGAUUGCCACGUUGAGUCCUUAACCCAUCAGGUACACGCGCACCUUGGGUUCUGCACAGAGCAGAUGGCAAUAUCUCCCAUGUAUCAAGAUUGCGUUUUUAGACUAAAGAUAAUAAUGACCCACUGGGCUAUUUUUAAAUUUCAUGGGUUGAUUUGGGUUUACUGACUCAGCCCAAGUUGACCCAUUUAUUACACGGGUUAGUUUGGGCACCGCUCCAUAAUGACCCAUCAUCAGAUAUAGCAUUCGCCCAACCCGUGAAAUAUUGGAUGGGUUUUGGUGGGGAGGGGGGGGGGGUCAUAUAGGUUUGGCCGUUUGGGCCAAAUUUGACAGCCUUAGGUGUUGUAUUGCUGUUGCUAGAAAGGCUAGAAUUUCAGGGCCGGAAGAACAUGGUCUUUCAAUUGGAAGGAAAACUAGCUCGAGCAAAAAUUGUGGAGUUUUUGACAAACUAUGAAAUCAAAAAUGGAAGAGUAACUAGUAUAGUGAAAGGAAUACAAGUGAGUUUUGAUGACAAGGAACUAGGAGAGAUGUUAGGAGUACUUGCUGAAGGGUACAAUAAUUACAAGAAGUUGAAAUGACCAAGCCUAGAAAACCCACCUACCUCACUUGUCAUCACCAAGAAAUUUGCUAAUAGGGACUUAGAGCUACAACCUGAGGCUAUUUAUAAGAGUGAAAUGAAGCCUGCCCAAAAGGUGUUCUUUGAAUUUGUCAACAAGAUUGUGUUGCCCAGGUAGGAGAGGAGGCACAUUGCAACUUUCAUGGACAUGAUCCUUAUAAAGUACCUGGAUAGUAGAAGGCAGAUCAAUUGGCCAGGGUUUACCAUCCAACUCCUUGAUAGGUUACAUUUUGGCACCAAAACUCAUGUCAUACCCUAUGGGUUCAUACUCACUGUUGUGCUUUCUCACUUCAAGGUUCCCCUCAAUAAAUAAGAUGUUAGCACAAGUAAAUAUCAGUUUGGGGCCAAUACUUAGAUUUCCUAUGACUAUGAAGUCCUUACUACUCCCAAAGAAGCUGGUUUAUCCAAUAUGGUGCCUGUGAACAGCAAAGUGGGUGCCUUGGAGCAAGAAAGUGGGGCUAAGGAUGUUGCGAUUGAAAGGCUGAAGAAGAGACUGCAUGAAGUAGAAACUGAGAGGGAUGCUCUCAAGACUGAGCUUGCUAAGGAGAAAGGGAAGAAUGAAGGCAUUCUUCAAGACAUGUUAAAGUAGAUUCAGGCCAGAAGCUAAGAACCUGGUCCUUCCAAGCCUUAACCCUUCCUAGUUUACUUUGAAAACCAGUUACCCUGAAUAAGAUUUUUUUUUUUUUGUUUUUUUGCUCAUGGUGCAGUACUUUUAUUUCCUUCUAUGCUUUGUGGAUGACUCUUAUCAAUGAUAAUCACUAUUUUUUACUCCUAUUAUUUGUUGAUAUUUCUUAGAUGGCUAAUAUCCUUAGAUUGAUAAGUGUUACUUGACUCCAUGAUUACAUUUGAAGUAGCCUCAGUGGCCAUGAGUAAGAUCUGCUAAAAUCUGGCUAUAUAACUUAAUUAUGCAACUUUUCGGUGAUGCCAAAAGGAGGAAGGUAGGUUUUGCUUUUACUUUGGACUGUAAUGUCUAUAACCUAAUGAACUUGGUCCUUGAUGAUUUUUGACUUUAAAAUGGAAAAUGUUCUAAUAUUAUGUUGAUAUUGAGUUAAAAUAGGCUUCAUGCUUAUAAAAAGCACAUAGUUUGCCAUCAUCAAAAAAGGAGAAUUUACUGGCCUGGGUAAGUUUGUUUUGUUGAUUGACAAAGGAACUCAUGCAUGAACCAGGUCCAUACACAGUGUGCACAUGACACGGGCAGAUUCAAG
Molecule: long non-coding RNA, 8161 nt
Filed under: Nicotiana tabacum (common tobacco)
Lineage: Eukaryota; Viridiplantae; Streptophyta; Magnoliopsida; Solanales; Solanaceae
Description: long non-coding RNA (NTAB_LNC007541)
Source: RNAcentral